AUUGAACGCUGGCGGCAUGCCUUACACAUGCAAGUCGAACGGUAACAGGUCUUCGGAUGCUGACGAGUGGCGAACGGGUGAGUAAUACAUCGGAACGUGCCCGAUCGUGGGGGAUAACGAAGCGAAAGCUUUGCUAAUACCGCAUAAGAUCUACGGAUGAAAGCAGGGGACCGCAAGGCCUUGCGCGAACGGAGCGGCCGAUGGCAGAUUAGGUAGUUGGUGGGAUAAAAGCUUACCAAGCCGACGAUCUGUAGCUGGUCUGAGAGGACGACCAGCCACACUGGGACUGAGACACGGCCCAGACUCCUAAGGGAGGCAGCAGUGGGGAAUUUUGGACAAUGGGCGAAAGCCUGAUCCAGCCAUGCCGAGUGCAGGAUGAAGGCCUUCGGGUUGUAAACUGCUUUUGUACGGAACGAAAAGACUCUUUCUAAUAAAGAGGGUCCAUGACGGUACCGUAAGAAUAAGCACCGGCUAACUACGUGCCAGCCGCCGCAGUAA
Molecule: ribosomal RNA, 498 nt
Filed under: uncultured bacterium
Lineage: Bacteria
Description: partial 16S ribosomal RNA
Rfam family: Bacterial small subunit ribosomal RNA
Source: RNAcentral